Molecule: ribosomal RNA, 780 nt
Filed under: uncultured bacterium
Lineage: Bacteria
Description: bacterial SSU rRNA
Rfam family: Bacterial small subunit ribosomal RNA
Source: RNAcentral
UCGGUACCCGGGCGAAUUCCAAGCUUGAGUUUGAUCCUGGCUCAGGAUGAACGCUGGCGGCGUGCCUAAUACAUGCAAGUCGAGCGAGGUUCUUCGGAACCUAGCGGCGGACGGGUGAGUAACACGUGGGUAACCUGCCUAUAAGACUGGGAUAACUUCGGGAAACCGAAGCUAAUACCGGAUACUUUCGAGCAUCGCAUGAUGCUUGAUGGAAAGACGGCUUCGGCUGUCACUUACAGAUGGACCCGCGUCGCAUUAGCUAGUUGGUGAGGUAAUGGCUCACCAAGGCGACGAUGCGUAGCCGACCUGAGAGGGUGAUCGGCCACACUGGGACUGAGACACGGCCCAGACUCCUACGGGAGGCAGCAGUAGGGAAUCUUCGGCAAUGGGCGAAAGCCUGACCGAGCAACGCCGCGUGAGCGAUGAAGGCCUUCGGGUCGUAAAGCUCUGUUGUUAAGGAAGAACAAGUACGAGAGUAACUGCUCGUACCUUGACGGUACUUAACGAGAAAGCCACGGCUAACUACGUGCCAGCAGCCGCGGUAAUACGUAGGUGGCGAGCGUUAUCCGGAAUUAUUGGGCGUAAAGCGCGCGCAGGCGGUUUCUUAAGUCUGAUGUGAAAGCCCACGGCUCAACCGUGGAGGGUCAUUGGAAACUGGGAAACUUGAGUGCAGAAGAGGAAAGCGGAAUUCCACGUGUAGCGGUGAAAUGCGUAGAGAUGUGGAGGAACACCAGUGGCGAAGGCGGCUUUCUGGUCUGUAACUACGCUAGGCGCAAAGCU